UGUGGGAGCGGGCUUGCCCGCGAUAGCGAUGUAUCAGUCAAGACUGCAGUGGUUGAUACACCGCAAUCGCGGGCAAGCCCGCUCCCACA
RNAcentral lists this non-coding RNA (89 nucleotides) under Pseudomonas tolaasii NCPPB 2192. Lineage: Bacteria; Pseudomonadati; Pseudomonadota; Gammaproteobacteria; Pseudomonadales; Pseudomonadaceae. The record is from RNAcentral.